Long non-coding RNA from Anopheles arabiensis, 1423 nucleotides. RefSeq lists it as uncharacterized. NCBI's taxonomy places the organism in Eukaryota, Metazoa, Arthropoda, Insecta, Diptera, Culicidae. The transcript is spliced from 2 exons. The record is from RefSeq and is a predicted model, not a curated record.
AUGCCAAGGACAGGUUAUUGCAGCACGUUCUAAAGCCAACGCCAAGAAGUGGUAGCUAAGAACAAAACAUUCGAAAUGAUCGUGCAAAGCAGAUGAUCGCAUGAUGUGCGAAUCUGAAAACGUGUCCGAGUGAGAUAAAAAAUAAAAGAAUUUUGCCAACGACAGUAAAAAGUACACAAAAUCGUUAUACGGAUUCCAAAAACUGGUUAUUGUAUGUAUAUGCCAUGUCCUAUGUUCGCCAUCGGGUGUGCUAAUAUUUAAAGCUGAUAAUGAAACAUAAAAAAGUAACAUCGUUUCAAAGUUCGACAGCAAGUGCGAGCCUUUAGGACCAUAAUAUCGAUAUGGUUAUUUUUAAGUGUUUCAUAUUCUCUUUAAGGACUAUUUACUGAUCUAGUGAAAGGGAACGUGUUUGUUUUUUGUAUCACAUAUUUGUUAUCAAACUAAAUUAUUUUUUCACGAGAAGUGUCUUUAGGUACAGUUCACGAUCGGUAAUACACACAUUUUUAAACGGCACGUUUGACAACAAAAUUUAUUAGACCAGUGAUCGGUGAAAAGUAGUGAAAUAUGAUUUAAAAGAGAAAUAUCUUUCUUUUUUUCAUAGCAAUUUUUAUACCACAUAAUCCGUACUCGAUUCAGCGCGGAUUGCCGAGCGUGAACUGUAUAUUGUAUUCCUCAUCGAUUUAAACUAUAUAGAAGCAAACAUGCAAAAGUAGAUUAUAUGAGUACGAUACGUACUCAACAGUACUCGAUGAAAAUUAGAUGUCGGCGGGGGAAGACAAAUGACUAUGUUAUAGGUCUUAUUUUGUAGAAUAAUUAUGUGCUAGGUUUUGUUAAUGAGUCCGUUCAAAUGUCCGUUCAUUUGAUAUUUCAUGCCUUAAAUUUUGAUAGUUCUGUAGUAUAGUCGCCAUCUGGCUCGGCGAAACAAACAUGCCCGUCAUAGGUGCAAGCCCCGUAUGCCCCGUCAUAGGUGCAAGCCAGAUAUCCGUAAUCCAUAAGUCACUGAUAGUCAAGCCCCUUAGUGGUACAAGCUGGCCUUGAUCGACAACGGUAGUUGCCUCAAGGAAUCAGAUCAUUAAACAUUUCUCUUUCAUUUCCACUCAAUCACUACAAGGACCCUUACCUUAACCAUUUUCUAGCGAUAUUCAAUAUAUUUUCGACUUCUACUAUUUUGUAAUAUUAUGAUAAAUGGAUAAAUAUACGACACGAAUCACUUUCAAAUUACUACAUUGACUAUCUUGCGCAUCAAGCUUAAGAUAUGUAAUUAAACAUUUAACAAUUAAAUAAUUUAGAUUUAAAGUAAUCUGUACAUUUGUUUACUUGACAUCUAUCUUUUCCGAAUUUUGUUGUACGUUGUGUUUAGGGAGUCGGAGCCUUACUUAAUAAUGAUGAAUACAUUGCUUCAAAUGAGUCGGUUGCAACUUUA